This is a long non-coding RNA of Carya illinoinensis, 940 nucleotides long. RefSeq lists it as uncharacterized. Lineage: Eukaryota; Viridiplantae; Streptophyta; Magnoliopsida; Fagales; Juglandaceae. The transcript has 2 exons. The record is from RefSeq and is a predicted model, not a curated record.
UCACGAAUCACCUGGCAAGCACGAGGAUCUCUCCCGUGAUGGUGGGACCUAAAAAAGGAUUUUCAGGGAUAACAACUCCCAUAAUUCAACGUACAGUGCACCAAAAAGAGAGACAUGGAUAACAAGAAAGCUAAUAAUGGGUCUGGUCUGAAUCUGAUUGAUGAUGGGUACUGUUUUGGAGUGGUUGAAGCAUUAACAAAAGUUGACGAAUGAAAUUGGAGGUUAAUGGAAUCCCAUUAUACGACCCGUGAAAAGAGGACAUAAAGAUAGUGCUUAUCUAUCUAUAAUUAUCUUAAAUAAUCUUGAGUUGUUGGAGUUCACGCCCCCAUUACCUUUUUCUAUCUUUAGCCUUAACCAAAUUCCAUCUGUUUCUAUAACUUAUCCACAUCCAAGGUGGUGGGAUAGUUUAGUUAAUCAUUUGCUGACAACAGGCCAUUGAAGAGCUUUCCAAAGAAGAUGGCCAACAAGGAGAUGAAGGUGGAGAUUCCAUCGCAUGGUGAACAUAUGCCAGGCAUUUCUGGGCUGACGAGACAGCCUAGUACUGGGAGGAGCAACUGCCUAUGCUCUCCCACCACGCAUGCAGGUUCCUUCCGUUGCAGGCUUCACCGCUCCCCAAGCCUUCAGCGAACCAGAAGCGCCAUAGACUCUACAUCCCUUCGAGAUUCAACCUCUAAGGGAAAUACUCCCACUGCUGAUGCUGCUGAAAAAUAGAACACAGUCCAGGCCCAGUAUUAAUUCUUAUAGCUAAGUGCAAGUUGCUGGUGCUGCAGCUCCUUUUUAUUGCUUGUACAGCUCGAGCCAUCCGCUAUCUUCUUGGUUGUUUGCUUUAUAAUUUUGAAUCCCCCUACUGUUUCUCUCUUUUUGCCCAGUAUUUUCAAAUGCAAUGUAUCUGCUGCUUCUUAAGCCUUAAAGGUACAAAGUGUUGGGAUUUUAAUGUAAA